CAUAUAACAUAACACAACACAAGCUGACAUGGUUUGCUUUGAAGUGACAUGUGCAUCAUCUUGGAAUGAAGCUUGAGGAAACAGUACAAGAAGACAGGAAUCUGUGAGCUGACAAUCAGAACAGAGGAUGCCACAUGGAUUGAGUUUAAUGUGGAUGACAUGAGGUGAAUAAAUUAAACAUGGAAAAGAUAUUUUUCAAAAAUAUGUAGGAACAUAUUUUUGUCAAAGGGAAAAUGCAUCAAACUGAGCAUCAAAUUCAGAAGAAAUCAUUAAAAGGCUUGGAAAACAGAAAACAUGUCUUCUCUGCCUUUAGAAUAACAGCUCUUUGUUUCGAAGACAUCUGCUUUUAAUUUCCAGACUAAAUAUAUGAAGCUGUAGCUAUGAUCUAAAGGAGGUACAGCCCUUUGAACAAGUUUCAGAAACUGGAAAUAUCACCCCAGAGGUCUUUCCUCCCAAGGGAACAACACAGAAUCCACCAACAAUAGAAGAAAACUUUCACUCAGUAAUUCACAAAUAGACAAUAAAAAUAGUAAAAAGAAAUUUUAAAAACUAAAACAAAAUUAAAAAAACUCUGAAUGCAAGCAAAAUACCAUUGUCAUUAUUGAAAAUACCAUAUAUAGAACACAUUUGUGUCUAGUAGAGGGACCAAAACAUAGCACUAUGACAAUGAAAACAUAAGAUGUUUACAUUAGAGCAAUCAUGGGAUAAAGGAUAGUAAAACCAAGCAUCCAAAAUGUUUUUGCACUAUGGAUCUAGAGUCCAAUCGAUAAUGUGAUAUAAAGGUAGAUGGCGUAGACCAGGUAACAGCCCUGCAUAUGUCCAUUAAAGGGACACCUGUCAAAAAUACUGCUGAGACUGCUGUGGCCCUGGUGGCAUGAGCAUGUACUCAGAGGGUGGAAGCCCCGUGAGUUCAUAACAGGUAAGGAUUAGUUUCACAAUCCACUUAGAGAAUUGUUGGUCUGAAAGAGGGUAACCCUUAUUAUCAGUCCUGUAAC
This is a long non-coding RNA of Anolis carolinensis (green anole), 995 nucleotides long. RefSeq lists it as uncharacterized. NCBI's taxonomy places the organism in Eukaryota, Metazoa, Chordata, Lepidosauria, Squamata, Anolidae. The transcript is spliced from 4 exons. The record is from RefSeq and is a predicted model, not a curated record.